GGCCCUUUAAGGUCGAGGAUCAGGACAAUAAUUGGGGAUGAGCAUUCAUAUAAAUGCUCGCUCCUGAUAAUUGCCCAGUGUAAAUGCGCCAUUGCUGGAAGCGGAUUGUACUGUGUAAACAGGAAUGUGCUUCCAGCAAAAAAUGAUUCUCUAUGGGGAUGAGUGAUCGCAGUAUUGGAGAUGAUUGCUGCAUGUAAAUGCAACUGCCUUCUCUGCUCAAUGAUCAGCCAGCAAUCAGAAACGAAUGUCUUGUUCCUGAUGAUUGCUCAUACAUCAGCGGGUGCAAAGAGGCUUUAAGGGGUAUUCCCAUCACAAUGAUCACAGUUUAAUCUGUUAAUAGGGUGCCAGUGAUCAUUUUUGUAAAUAUAUUGUAUAAGCAAAUUCCCACCCUUCUUGAUCAAAUUCUUUCCCUCCUACCUCAUUAUUGUCCUUUGGUCUCCCAUAGUUACGGCCACAGCUGCCUGACGAUUCCAUGGGCCGUUCCUGCGCAGAUGAACCACAUCCAUCCAGUGGCCGGCCUCUCAUUUCAUUCAUGAAUGAGCACGCCGUCUGAAACAGAGCCGCGCAUGCUCUGUUUGCAGGGCAGACUUCGGAGACUCUGUAAGGACCUUCUGAUGUCACAAUAUCACGUGACAUCCCUAGGUCACGUGGGUAGGCAGCUGGAGCGCUCUGUUAUCACAGGCACCGGCCGAAUGUUUACAGAGUAGUAAGGUCUGCAGCACUGAGAGGGGAGAGAGUCUGACAGUGCUGGAGAGGUGGAUGUAACUACUGGAGAGGGGCUGAGAAUUGUAUGUAGGGGGGAGGGAUUCUGUGUGGGACUGUAUGCUCGGGGGAGGGGGCUGUGUGAGAUUAUACACUGGGGGGGCGGCUGCUGUGUGAGAUUAUAUACUGGGGCGGCUGCUGUGUGAGAUUAUAUACUGGGGGGGC
This is a long non-coding RNA of Bufo bufo (common toad), 927 nucleotides long. RefSeq lists it as uncharacterized. The transcript has 3 exons. The record is from RefSeq and is a predicted model, not a curated record. Lineage: Eukaryota; Metazoa; Chordata; Amphibia; Anura; Bufonidae.